AGUGAACGCUGGCGGUAGGCCUAACACAUGCAAGUCGAACGGCAGCACAGUAAGAGCUUGCUCUUACGGGUGGCGAGUGGCGGACGGGUGAGGAAUACAUCGGAAUCUACUUUUUCGUGGGGGAUAACGUAGGGAAACUUACGCUAAUACCGCAUACGACCUACGGGUGAAAGCAGGGGAUCUUCGGACCUUGCGCGAUUGAAUGAGCCGAUGUCGGAUUAGCUAGUUGGCGGGGUAAAGGCCCACCAAGGCGACGAUCCGUAACUGGUCUGAGAGGACGAUCAGCCACACUGGAACUGAGACACGGUCCAGACUCCUACGGGAGGCAGCAGUGGGGAAUAUUGGACAAUGGGCGCAAGCCUGAUCCAGCCAUACCGCGUGGGUGAAGAAGGCCUUCGGGUUGUAAAGCCCUUUUGUUGGGAAAGAAAAGCAGCAGGUUAAUACCCCGCUGUUCUGACGGUACCCAAAGAAUAAGCACCGGCUAACUUCGUG
This 492-nucleotide ribosomal RNA is filed under the name uncultured bacterium. RNAcentral describes it as "partial 16S ribosomal RNA". It matches the Rfam family "Bacterial small subunit ribosomal RNA", at positions 29 to 507 of the family's 1533-position model. The record is from RNAcentral.